RNAcentral lists this ribosomal RNA (506 nucleotides) under uncultured bacterium. RNAcentral's name for it is "bacterial SSU rRNA". It matches the Rfam family "Bacterial small subunit ribosomal RNA", at positions 15 to 518 of the family's 1533-position model. The record is from RNAcentral.
GAUUCUGGCUCAGGAUGAACGCUGGCGGCGUGCUUAACACAUGCAAGUCGAACGAGCUUACUUUCACGAUCCCCUCGGGGGUGACGAGUUGUAAGCGAGUGGCGGACGGGUGAGUAACGCGUGGGCAACCUGCCCCAUACAGGGGGAUAACAGUUGGAAACGACUGACAAUACCGCAUAAGCGCACAGUACCGCAUGGUACGGUGUGAAAAAACUCCGGUGGUAUGGGAUGGGCCCGCGUCUGAUUAGCUAGUUGGUGAGGUAACGGCCCACCAAGGCGACGAUCAGUAGCCGACCUGAGAGGGUGACCGGCCACAUUGGGACUGAGACACGGCCCAAACUCCUACGGGAGGCAGCAGUGGGGAAUAUUGCACAAUGGGGGAAACCCUGAUGCAGCCGACGCCGCGUGAGUGAUGAAGUAUUUCGGUAUGUAAGGCUCUAUCAGCAGGGAAGAACAAUGACGGUACCUGACUAAGAAGCCCCGGCUAACUACGUGCCAGCCGCGGC